AAAUAUUAAAAAAAAAAAAAUUGUUCGAAUUUUUUUAAAGUUCUGUGAUGUACAUAAAUUGUUUUAUUACUUAAUAGCUUUUAUUGUUUAUGCAUAAGCUAACUAUUUCUUUUGUCGUUUCAUAUUCCUGAGUAUCCUGCAUGGUGAUUGGUCCGGGACUACAGCCCCGAAAAUUAAUCAGCUUAGAGAAAACAAGAAGCAUUUAAAGAGAAAAAUAGAUACAUAGUAUCAAAUGAAACCUAAAAUUUUAGAUGACUCUGUGAAAAUUGACAGAAAUAGAAAAACUGUGUAAAAUAAUGUAUAUAGAACGAUUAGUUUCAAAUCAGUGGAUUUAUUCGAGUCGGAACAAACAGCCAGCACACCAAGAUGACAACAACCAAGAAACUUUGAACUAUUAUUGAUAUAUAUGUGUUAUCUCAUAUAAACCACAUAUUGUUCUACUAAGUAAUCAUUAUUAAUUUUUAGGGACAAAAAUUUUGAAACAAAGGGG
RNAcentral lists this long non-coding RNA (490 nucleotides) under Mytilus galloprovincialis (Mediterranean mussel). The record is from RNAcentral. Lineage: Eukaryota; Metazoa; Mollusca; Bivalvia; Mytilida; Mytilidae.